GACGAACGCUGGCGGCGUGCUUAACACAUGCAAGUCGAACGGAAAGGCCCUGCUUUUGUGGGGUGCUCGAGUGGCGAACGGGUGAGUAACACGUGAGUAACCUGCCCUUGACUUUGGGAUAACUUCAGGAAACUGGGGCUAAUACCGGAUAUGAGCUCCUGCUGCAUGGUGGGGGUUGGAAAGUUUCGGCGGUUGUGGAUGGACUCGCGGCUUAUGAGCUUGUUGGGGGGGUAGUGGCUUACCAAGGCUUUGACGGGUAGCCUGCCUGAGAGGGUUGCCGGCCACAUUGGGACUGAGAUACGGACCAGAAGCCUACGGGCGGCAGCAGUGGGGAAUAUUGCAGAAUGGGCGGAAGCCUGAUGCAGCAACGCCGCGUGCGGGAUGACGGCCUUCGGGUUGUAAACCGCUUCCGCCUGUGACGAAGCGUGAGUGACGGUAAUGGGUAAAGAAGCACCGGCUAACUACGUG
RNAcentral lists this ribosomal RNA (468 nucleotides) under uncultured bacterium. Its description in RNAcentral is "partial 16S ribosomal RNA". It matches the Rfam family "Bacterial small subunit ribosomal RNA", at positions 28 to 507 of the family's 1533-position model. The record is from RNAcentral.